This 183-nucleotide ribosomal RNA is filed under the name Triticum aestivum (bread wheat). Its description in RNAcentral is "partial small subunit ribosomal RNA". Lineage: Eukaryota; Viridiplantae; Streptophyta; Magnoliopsida; Poales; Poaceae. The record is from RNAcentral.
AUGAAGAGUACAAGUGUGUUUGGGGCAAAUAUCCUGUGGCAGAUGAUCAACAAGCGUCUUGUUCUGAGCAAGCUGCGGAUGAAAGAUGCCAAGACGUUGCCUUAUGAAAACCUGAAGCGUUUCGUCAAGCUGGACAACCGGGUUUGGGUCACGAAGAACAAUACUCUCACCGCUAAGAACUGA